RNAcentral lists this ribosomal RNA (371 nucleotides) under uncultured bacterium. RNAcentral describes it as "bacterial SSU rRNA". It matches the Rfam family "Bacterial small subunit ribosomal RNA", at positions 917 to 1289 of the family's 1533-position model. The record is from RNAcentral.
GGGCCCGCACAAGCGGUGGAGUAUGUGGUUUAAUUCGAUGCAACGCGAAGAACCUUACCAGGGUUUGACAUCCUGCGAAUCUCUUGGAAACGAGAGAGUGCCUUCGGGAACGCAGUGACAGGUGGUGCAUGGCUGUCGUCAGCUCGUGUCGUGAGAUGUUGGGUUAAGUCCCGCAACGAGCGCAACCCACGUCUUUAGUUGCCAUCAAUUCGGUUGGGCACUCUAGCGAGACUCCCGGUGUUAAGCCGGCGGAAGAUGGGGAUGACGUCAAGUCCUCAUGGCCCUUAUGUCUGGGCUACACACGUACUACAAUGGCAUUUACAGAGGGCAGCAAUACGGCAACGUGGAGCCAAUCCCAAAAAGAAUGCCUC